RNAcentral lists this ribosomal RNA (57 nucleotides) under Aspergillus niger. RNAcentral describes it as "partial 28S ribosomal RNA". The record is from RNAcentral. Lineage: Eukaryota; Fungi; Ascomycota; Eurotiomycetes; Eurotiales; Aspergillaceae. RNAcentral also lists the same sequence under 1 other name.
UUGACCUCGGAUCAGGUAGGGAUACCCGCUGAACUUAAGCAUAUCAAUAAGCGGAAG